This 189-nucleotide ribosomal RNA is filed under the name uncultured bacterium. RNAcentral's name for it is "partial 16S ribosomal RNA". It matches the Rfam family "Bacterial small subunit ribosomal RNA", at positions 338 to 524 of the family's 1533-position model. The record is from RNAcentral.
CCUACGGGAGGCAGCAGUAAGGAAUAUUGGACAAUGGACGCAAGUCUGAUCCAGCCAUGCCGCGUGAAGGAUUAAGGUCCUCUGGAUUGUAAACUUCUUUUAUAAGGGACGAAAAAAGGUCUUUCUAGAUCGUCUGACGGUACCUUAUGAAUAAGCACCGGCUAACUCCGUGCCAGCAGCCGCGGUAAU